Molecule: ribosomal RNA, 1251 nt
Filed under: Heliconius doris delila
Lineage: Eukaryota; Metazoa; Arthropoda; Insecta; Lepidoptera; Nymphalidae
Description: bacterial SSU rRNA
Rfam family: Microsporidia small subunit ribosomal RNA
Source: RNAcentral
CCAGGUUAAUUCUGCCUGACGUAGAUGCUAUUCCCUGAGAUUAACCCAUGCAUGUUAUUGAACAUUUUUAUAAUCUGAAAGAUGGACGGCUCAGUAAUACUCACUUUAUUUGAUCUAUAUUGAAGAUAACUACGUUAAAGUGUAGAUAAAAAAUAUAGAGUAAGAGUGAGACCUAUCAGCUAGUUGUUAAGGUAAUGGCUUAACAAGGCAUUGACGGGUAACGGUAUUAUUUUGUAAUAUUCCGGAGAAGGAGCCUGAGAGAUGGCUACUAAGUCUAAGGAUUGCAGCAGGGGCGAAACUUGACCUAUGGAAAUAUUCUGAGGCAGUUAUGGGAAGUAAUUAUAAUUUUUUCGAAUUUUAAAAGAAUUUGAAUUGAUUAAUUGGAGGGCAAAUCAAGUGCCAGCAGCCGCGGUAAUACUUGUUCCGAGAGUGUGUAUGAUGAUAGAUGCAGUUAAAAAGUCCGUAGUUUAUGAUUAAGAAACAAUAUGAGGUUUACUGUAUAGUUGGGAGAGAGAUGAAAUGUGACGACCCUGACUGGACGAGCAGAAGCGAAAGCUGUAAACUUGUAUGUAUUUUUUGAACAAGGACGUAAGCUAGAGGAUCGAAGAUGAUUAGAUACCAUUGUAGUUCUAGCAGUAAACUAUGCCAACGAUGUGAUAUGUUUUAUUGUAUUACAUAAUAGAAAUUAGAGUUUUUUGGCUCUGGGGAUAGUAUGAUCGCAAGAUUGAAAAUUAAAGAAAUUGACGGAAGAAUACCACAAGGAGUGGAUUGUGCGGCUUAAUUUGACUCAACGCGGGGUAACUUACCAAUAUUUUAUUAUUUUGAGAAUCUUUUUUUUAAGAUGAGAAUGAUAAUAGUGGCGUUUCCAAUGGAUGCUGUGAAGUUUUGAUUAAUUUCAACAAGACGUGAGACCCUUAUUAUUUUUAUAAGACUGACAUUUAUAAUGUAGGAAGGAAAGGAUUAAAACAGGUCCGUUAUGCCCUAUGAUAUUUUGGGCUGCGCGUGCAAUACAAUAGAUUUAUUUUCUUUAUGGGAUAAUAUUUUGUAAGAGAUAUUUGAACUUGGAAUUGCUAGUAAAUUUUAUUAAAUAAGUAAGAUUGAAUGAGUCCCUGUUCUUUGUACACACCGCCCGUCGCUAUCUAAGAUGAUAAUUGUUGUGAAAUUAUAGAAAUAUAAUUAAACAAUAUGUAUUANNNNNNNNNNNNNNNGAUAUAAGUCGUAACAUGGUUGCUGUUGGAGAACCAUUAGCAG